Molecule: ribosomal RNA, 253 nt
Filed under: uncultured bacterium
Lineage: Bacteria
Description: partial 16S ribosomal RNA
Rfam family: Bacterial small subunit ribosomal RNA
Source: RNAcentral
UACAGAGGGUGCAAGCGUUAAUCGGAAUUACUGGGCGUAAAGCGUGCGUAGACGGUUAUGUAAGUCAGGUGUGAAAGCCCCGGGCUCAACCUGGGAAUUGCAUUCGAGACUGAAUAGCUAGGGUACGGUAGAGGGAAGUGGAAUUUCCGGUGUAGCGGUGAAAUGCGUAGAUAUCGGAAGGAACAUCAGUGGCGAAAGCGACUUCCUGGACCAGUACCGACGUUCAGGCACGAAAGCGUGGGGAGCAAACAGG